GAUGAACGCUGGCGGCGUGCCUAACACAUGCAAGUCGAGCGAUCUUCUUCGGAAGAGAGCGGCGGACGGGUGAGUAACGCGUGGGUAACCUGCCUCAUACACAUGGAUAACAUACCGAAAGGUAUGCUAAUACAAGAUGAUAUAAGAGAUUCGCAUGAAUUUCUUAUCAAAGCUUUUGCGGUAUGAGAUGGACCCGCGUCUGAUUAGCUAGUUGGUAAGGUAAUGGCUUACCAAGGCGACGAUCAGUAGCCGACCUGAGAGGGUGAUCGGCCACAUUGGAACUGAGACACGGUCCAAACUCCUACGGGAGGCAGCAGUGGGGAAUAUUGCACAAUGGGCGAAAGCCUGAUGCAGCAACGCCGCGUGAGCGAUGAAGGCCUUCGGGUCGUAAGCUCUGUCCUCAAGGAAGAUAAUGACGGUACUUGAGGAGGAAGCCCGGCUAACUACGUGCCAGCAGCCGCGGUAAAGUGU
RNAcentral lists this ribosomal RNA (471 nucleotides) under uncultured bacterium. RNAcentral describes it as "bacterial SSU rRNA". It matches the Rfam family "Bacterial small subunit ribosomal RNA", at positions 28 to 528 of the family's 1533-position model. The record is from RNAcentral.